GAUGAACGCUAGCGGCAGGCCUAACACAUGCAAGUCGAGGGGUAGCAGGAUUAAGCUUGCUUAAUUGCUGACGACCGGCGCACGGGUGCGUAACGCGUAUGCAACCUACCUUAUACUGGGGUAUAGCCCGGAGAAAUUCGGAUUAAUCCCCCAUAGUACUAAUGAAUCGCAUGGUUUAUUAGUUAAAGCAUUGCGGUAUAAGAUGGGCAUGCGUCCUAUUAGCUAGAUGGUGAGGCAACGGCUCACCAUGGCUACGAUAGGUAGGGGGCCUGGGAGGGUGGUCCCCCACACUGGUACUGAGACACGGACCAGACUCCUACGGGAGGCAGCAGUGAGGAAUAUUGGUCAAUGGGCGCAAGCCUGAACCAGCCAUGCCGCGUGCAGGAAGAGUGCCCUAUGGGUUGUAAACUGCUUUUAUUUGGGAAUAAACCUCUUUACGUGUAGAGAGCUGAAGGUACCAAAUGAAUAAGCACCGGCUAACUCCGUGCCAGCCGCCGCCGUAA
Molecule: ribosomal RNA, 503 nt
Filed under: uncultured bacterium
Lineage: Bacteria
Description: partial 16S ribosomal RNA
Rfam family: Bacterial small subunit ribosomal RNA
Source: RNAcentral